ACGAACGCUGGCGGCAUGCCUAACACAUGCAAGUCGAACGAAGGCUUCGGCCUUAGUGGCGCACGGGUGCGUAACGCGUGGGAAUCUGCCCUUGGGUUCGGGAUAACAGUUGGAAACGACUGCUAAUACCGGAUGACGUCGAUAAGACCAAAGAUUUAUCGCCUGAGGAUGAGCCCGCGUAGGAUUAGGUAGUUGGUGGGGUAAAGGCUCACCAAGCCGACGAUCCUUAGCUGGUCUGAGAGGAUGAUCAGCCACACUGGGACUGAGACACGGCCCAGACUCCUACGGGAGGCAGCAGUGGGGAAUAUUGGACAAUGGGCGAAAGCCUGAUCCAGCAAUGCCGCGUGAGUGAUGAAGGCCUUAGGGUUGUAAAGCUCUUUUACCCGGGAAGAUAAUGACUGUACCGGGAGAAUAAGCCCCGGCUAACUCCGU
RNAcentral lists this ribosomal RNA (432 nucleotides) under uncultured bacterium. RNAcentral's name for it is "bacterial SSU rRNA". It matches the Rfam family "Bacterial small subunit ribosomal RNA", at positions 29 to 506 of the family's 1533-position model. The record is from RNAcentral.